AUGAAGAUGCAGUUCCAAAAAGAAAACCACUUGGAAAGCUUUUUCUGUUAAUCCCAUCAUCAGCAAAACAUCCAUGAAGAAGAAGUACAAUCCCAAAAGCCAAUAAUAGUACAACUGUUUUCAAUCUCAACACCAACAUUUGUCUUACAAUAUGGGGAGUACAGGUUGGUUGUAUGUAUCUGAGUUUGAAUAAGAAAGUAGUGGUGGUAGACGGUGGCGCGUGAAGACUC
RNAcentral lists this long non-coding RNA (230 nucleotides) under Helianthus annuus (common sunflower). RNAcentral describes it as "sRNA HanXRQr2_Chr08g0322141". The record is from RNAcentral. Lineage: Eukaryota; Viridiplantae; Streptophyta; Magnoliopsida; Asterales; Asteraceae.